RNAcentral lists this transfer RNA (74 nucleotides) under Saccharothrix algeriensis. It matches the Rfam family "tRNA". From Rfam's summary of the family: Transfer RNA (tRNA) molecules are approximately 80 nucleotides in length. Their secondary structure includes four short double-helical elements and three loops (D, anti-codon, and T loops). Lineage: Bacteria; Bacillati; Actinomycetota; Actinomycetes; Pseudonocardiales; Pseudonocardiaceae. The record is from Rfam by way of RNAcentral.
GGACCUGUAGCGCAGUGGUUGACGCGCCCCCGACCCGUCGGGGGAGGACGCCGGUUCGAAUCCGGCCUGGUCCG